Long non-coding RNA from Frieseomelitta varia, 139 nucleotides. RefSeq lists it as uncharacterized. NCBI's taxonomy places the organism in Eukaryota, Metazoa, Arthropoda, Insecta, Hymenoptera, Apidae. The transcript has 3 exons. The record is from RefSeq and is a predicted model, not a curated record.
GGAUGCACCGCGGUAUAAUCGCGAGCGUGUUUCAUCGGACCGAUGAAAGGCCCUUUGCAACAAGCUGCCUUGAAAGCCUGUCUUAUCAGGAAUUCGGCAAUCGGAAAUUCGCUCUGACGAAUCGAACCGUCGCGAUCGG